UGCGUAGGCGGGCUAAUAAGUCAGUGGUGAAAUCUCUCGGCUCAACCGGGAAACUGCCAUUGAUACUGUUAGUCUUGAGUUCGGUUGAGGUAGGCGGAAUGUGUAAUGUAGCGGUGAAAUGCUUAGAUAUUACACAGAACACCAAUUGCGUAGGCAGCAUACUAGACCGACACUGACGCUGAGGCACGAAAGCGUGGGGAGCGAACAGGAUUAGAUACCCUGGUAGUCC
Molecule: ribosomal RNA, 229 nt
Filed under: uncultured bacterium
Lineage: Bacteria
Description: partial 16S ribosomal RNA
Rfam family: Bacterial small subunit ribosomal RNA
Source: RNAcentral